RNAcentral lists this long non-coding RNA (1847 nucleotides) under Homo sapiens (human). RNAcentral describes it as "HSALNT0079142". The record is from RNAcentral. Lineage: Eukaryota; Metazoa; Chordata; Mammalia; Primates; Hominidae.
GGCGCCGGCAGCCGCCCUCCCACUACGGCCACUGACAACCUGGAGGCCAAAGGAAAACUGAGCCCAAAUGCACGCACCCCCUUCAGCCCUGCCCGCAGCCCUCCAAAGUCCGGCCCUGACCUCGCGCCCGGCUUCAGGCUAACCUGGGCUUGUUCAUAUGGUGGUGGAAGAUUUCCCAGCAGCAAGAGUGUUGGCUCCAGUAUACAGACCUUGUCAAGUCUCUGCCUGCAUCAUUUGCAUCUUUGACCAAACCAGAUUUGCACCUAUGAUCUUGAUGUCUCCACAUGCUGCAAGUCACAUUGGACAGUUUGUAGUUUUGUGACUGAAUCUAACAUUAAGUUUAUUAGGGACUUUGGUCUACAUGUAAAACUCACCUGGAUGUUAAUGGAAGAGCCUCUGGGUAUUGAAACAGAAUAUAUUCAGCAUUUUGUCUGGUCUAGAAGUCAAUCAGAAUGCAAUUGUUCAUUAAGCCUCCUGCAAGCAAUAGUCACUGUGCUGUGCCAACAUUCAUCAAGUUAAGGGCCAGGAAAUGUGAUUGCCAGGGGCAGAUCUCACAGAGACAGCACAAAAGUCAGCUCGUCUCAAUUACAACGCGGCAAUGGCCUUCUUCCUUGAAACUGCAUUGUCAGAAGGGAAUCUGAGAGGCAGUUCAGAACUUUUUCACUGGGCUCACUCUCAACAGGAAUACCUGAUAGGAAACAAACUAGGAGACUUAUUUUCCUGUUCUCAAUUUUCACAAGAAUGUUUGGACUAUAGUGCCUGUGACUGACUCAAGAAAUUGAAGAAGCAAGAAUUAAGAGGAACAGUGAAUAUUUGGUGCUACAUGGAAGGAGAAUAUUGAAGUGGGAACACUUAACAGCUUUUUAGGAAGAAAGUUAAAAUCUUAGCUGUAUCUCUUGCUUUACAUUUCUAGGCAAGUUCUUUAAUUUUUCUAGAUGUAAGUAUCCUUAUGUAUAAUCUGUCUACUCCAUAAGGUUAUUGUAAGAAAUACAUAAAAUAAAGUAACUGAAAACAGUGCACAAUAAAUGAAGCUAUUAUGAUGAAGGCAAAAUAUCACCAAGAUUAUAAUAUUCCCUUUCAUUUGGAAUUGAGAGGUAGAUAGCUAUGUUUUUAACAGUCAGAUAAAGAGUUAAACUUUGGACGCAAAUGACAGUAAUCAAGAAGGUAAAAUAAGACCUAAGAACUCCUUAGAAAAUCUUCAAUUCCCAUAGGUCUCAUUAUCAGGUAAGAAUGCUAUAUGCUUCUCACAAAAGCCUGGAAAAAUGUUUGAAGCUCACUUGUCAGCAUGGAGAGACAUCCAGAAUAAUUACUGAAAACAAACGAUGGUUUUGCAAGUCCAAGAUGUUUCGAGAUGUUUUGACAGUGGAGGAAAUGCCUAGAAGCAGGUUUGACUCUUUGUAAUACUCAUUCAUCUACAUGGUUUUUCUCUCUCUUUCUCCUCCUCCCCCUCCCCGCUCUCUGUGUGUGUACUACUUAAUUUCCCCAGAAUAAAUAUAAAUAUGUUAUAGUUCUUAUAAAUUAAAAUUAUGUAAAUUUGAUCACGUGAAUGCUGUUAUCAACAUAUUAACAUACUUUGUAUCUAUUUUCACUGUGAUUUACCAUGUAUUAGUAAUUGGCAAAAGGCCCUGUAUCAUUCCUGGAACAGUCCCAUUGCAGUGAGAAUUCUAGUUGAGCUCAUGCUGUUUCUACCACCACGUGUAAGGAAAGCCCACAGCAUAAUUCACCAUCAGGGUUUCCUCUUUCACUCAGAAGCCUAUGGCAUGCAAGCCUGUAAUUCUGGUAUGCGUGACUCCAUGGAUGAGGAAUUGGAGUCUUGCUUGAAGGGUUGGGCUCAAAGUUACUGUACG